This is a long non-coding RNA of Aedes albopictus (Asian tiger mosquito), 15245 nucleotides long. RefSeq lists it as uncharacterized. The transcript has 2 exons. NCBI's taxonomy places the organism in Eukaryota, Metazoa, Arthropoda, Insecta, Diptera, Culicidae. The record is from RefSeq and is a predicted model, not a curated record.
CCACUUAUUGACCAUGACUGUUACAUAUUUGAAUAGCGUAGAUCAUUUUGAAUAAUAAUAGUAAUAAUGAAGUAAUAAUAUAGCAUAGAAUAUUCUAGAAGAGAAACGUUAGUGUAUUUGAAUGCGCACCGAAGACUGCAAGGCCAAACACCCCCAUGUAACGGGGUCUACAACGAAGUACAUACCGAUUAAUUCCAAAAAUGCUAAGUUCUGAUGAGACUAGUUUAGCUGCAUGGCUUGCGACCAUCCUGAUGACAAGAAGUAACAAAUGGUGUUUUGUGACAACUGACUGCAAGAACUUUAAUUGUGUUGGAUCACAACAGAUGUAAAGAACGUUCUUGAGGCUGUCAGAAGUACAUUGAAAGCGGAAGGAAGAACACCUACAUCUGCAACGCUACAAGAAGGUCUGAAAGAGUUCCAAGCGAAAAAAGCGAAGGAGAAGCAAAUGGAGAAGUAGAAGAUUAUGCACCGGUAGCGUCAAGAGGAGAAGAUACAAUAGGAACUUUUCAAAAUGUGCAAGCAAAUGGCACAAAAGAAGCGAACAAUGAAUCUUAAAUUUAAAAAAGCGCAAAUGGAAAAUAAUGAUCACCCAUUAACCCUAGUCGUGAAUUAUGACCCAGACUGGAAGGCUGAGCGUAUUCUAAGCCAGCGUAGUACUUCCAUACAUUUAUUUGUUCAACAUCACAUUUGAGACGAGACAUAAUCAACAGUAGUACGCCACAAUACUCGGUUUGUGGCUGCCGGUCUCCAUCCUUGGUCGCGCCCAAUGCUCACCAGAUCCUGGUCCUGGUCCGCUCAUCAUGCUCUCUGCGCUUUGCAGGGUUGUUGUCCGGCUUUCUUGCGUCUUGUAUCCUUCCGGCUUUGGCCACUUUCUGGAUGCUGAGUUCGCCGUAAAGUGCAGCGAGCUCGUGGUUCAUCCUUCUCCGCCACACAUCGCCGAAGAUCGUCCUUAGCACGCGUUGCUCGAAAACUCCGAGUGCUUGCAGGGCCUCCUCGAGCGUGGUCCAUGUCUCGUGUCCCUAGAGGAGCACCGGUCUUAUUAGCGUUUUUACAUGGUGCAUUUGGUGCGUGGGUGAAUCUUUUCAGAUCGCAGCUUCUUCUGGAGCCCGUAGUAGGUCCGACUUCCGCUGAUGAGGCGCCUCCGAAUGACACGACUCACGUUGUUGUCAGCCGUCAGUAAGGAUCCGAGGGAGACGAAUUUCUCCACCACCUCGAAAAUAUCUCCGUCUAUCGUAACAUUACUGCGCAGACGGAUCCGGUCGUGUUCAGUUCCGCUUACCAGCAUGUACUUUGUUUUUAAGGCAUUCAUCACCAGUCGAACCUUUGUUGCUUCGCGUUUCAGGCGGUUGUACAGCUCUGUCAGCGUUUCAAAUGUUCUAGCGAUAAUGCCCAUGUCGUCCGCAAAGCACACAAAUUGACCGGAUUUUGUAAAAAUCGUUCUCCUGCUGUUGAACCCGGCUCGUCGCAUAACAUCUUCCAAAGCGAUGUUGAAGAGUAGUCAUGAGAGUCCAUCACCUUGUAUCAGUCCCCGGCGAGAUUCGAAUGAACUGGAUAGUUCACCCGAACCCCUUACGCAGUUUUGCACACCGUCCAUCGUUGCUUUAAUCAGUCUAAGUAGUCAGCUUUCCGGGAAAGCCGUUUUCGUCCAUGAUUCUCCAUUGCUCUGCGCGGUCGAUACUGUCGUAUGCCUCUUUGAAGUCGAUGAACCGGUGAUGCGUUGGGACCUGGUAUUCACGGCAUUUCUGGAGGAUUUGCCGUAGGGUGAAGAUCUGGUCCGUAGUCGACCGGCCGUCGAUGAAGCCGGCUUGCUAACUGCCUACGAACUCAUUCGUUUUAGGUGACAGACGACGGACGAUUAGCUGGGAUAGCACUUUGUAGGCAACAUUCAAAAAAGUGAUGGCUGAAAUUCUCACAUUCCAAAUGGUCGUCUUUCUUGUGAAUGAGGCAGAUUACUCCUUCCUUCCACUCCUCCGGUAGCUGUUCGGUUUCCCAGAUGAGCCGAUGCAGAGCGGUGGCCAACUUUUCUGGGCCCAUUUUGAUGAGUUCAGCUGCGAUACCAUCCUUACCAGCUGCUUUGUUGGUUUUGAGCUGGUGAAUGGCAUCCUUAACUUCCCUCAGCGUGGGUGUUGGUUCAUCUCCGUUGCCGUGGUAGUUAGCUGGUUAUCCAGCGUAGUACACGGCAGCUAAUGCAUGGAGCUUCAACCUUCAAGGUAAUGCGAAUGUGAAUGAAAGAGAAGAUCAAGCAGUUGAAGCUGAAGCGGAAUACGCAAGCGGUCGUUGAAGAAAAGGAGCUGGAAGAAGCUGUCGGAGGCGACAUAGUGGACAGCUCGAAAAACUGAUCAAAGAAGUUGAUGGAAUCGGAGCAUGCGAAACCGGAGAUAGAAAUCGAUUACUUAAAGUCGAGGAAUGAAAAGCCUGGAAAAGCAAUGCAACGGCAGGGAACAUCAACGAUCGGAGUGAGCCUAUCACAAGCAUUCAAUUCCAAAUCCAAAAGAGCCUUGGAAGCUUGGACCAAAGUGUGUUCAUCGAGAAUACCGGAGGCGGAGACUUUUCUGAUCGGGGGCAACGACCAGGGGUUUCCAAACCCGAGAAGGUAAACCUUUAAUCAAGAAAGUAAAGAAAGUGGUGGAAGUUAUUGAAUGGGAUAGAAUUUGUAGUGUACUCUCGUUUCUUGUCCGAAUACCCCGUAACGUGGGUAGAUCACCUUAGAAUGGUGCGUUGCGGUGUAAGAUUUACCAAAUCAAAUUUUGAUCUUGAUAUUUACCGUAUUUUUUAAUAUUCCAAGAUCAAAGUUUGACGCUCUUUUCCUUGUGUUUUGUAGUAUUUGUGUUUCAAUGUACUGCUACUUAACAUUUUAUUUCAGCAGGAUUCAGGUAAAUGUAUCGUACGAUAUAAAUAAAAUUUAAAAAAAAUGUUACCGUGGCGAGCGUAUCACUAAUAUGUAUCUUAUUUGACGUACGAUGUUAAUAUUAUUUUAUAUUUCAGAUUAUCAACCAAAAAAUCUAGUAAUUCAACCAAAUUCCAACAAGAUGACGAGGAAACCAGGAUGAAUUGGGUAGACAACUGAUUCGAAGCAGUCUAACAAUGGUGUGCCUGAACGUUACCCAAGCGUAUCCUUUGGAGUUUACCCUUCCACUAACAACACCCAAAUUCCCGUGACACCUAGGCCUGAGAGAUCGUAGAGUUGUCUACAUUUUUCAUAGGUGUCCAAAACUAACCAUCCUUUCCCAUUCCUCAGCAGUCGCAAGGACGUGGUCAGGACAGUGCUCGACCAUUGGAGGAUUGCGUCAGUCUUGUCUAAGAGUCAGAGAUUAGUCCCAAAUCUUUGUGCUUUGGUUCAGACGGGAAGGAGGCAACCCUCAUAACAGUGGUCUAGGACUGUACCACCUACGAAUUUGUGCGACUCGCUUAAUGCUAAUGCUACUCUCGUUUCUUGUCCGAAUUCCUCGUGCAUUAAAAAAUGGGAUAGCGCGAAUUCUGAAGAAGAAGAAGAAGAAGAAGAAGAAGAAGAAGAAGAAGAAGAAAGAAGACGAGUCCACUGGAAAGGCUGACGAAGAAGAAAAGAUUCUCUGCGACGAAGAGGAGAACUCCACAGAGAAGGAAGAAAGUUCAGAGAGAUCCGAAAAAGCGUAGAAGCAAGAUAAAUCUCGUUGGAAAAAUAAAAACGGCAAUGAUAGAUCAAUCGGCAACGAGAACCAACGAAGGCUCAGAUUUCCGUGCGGCCUUUUUUGUCCAGAAAAUUGUUUAAGUUUACUGGUACGUUAUAAGAAUGGCCGAUGCUCAUCAGCACUUCAACGAGACUUCAACGAAGGCAUGCGGUUUAUCCGACGUGGAGAAUUUGGCACGGCUACUGAAGAUUUCUAUCGAACACCGUCCCAAAAGUCAGGAAGACACUGUGCAUGCUGUGCGGCAGACCAGAGUGACUUCACAUCAUGCUGUUGAAGCAGGUUCGCAACGCAGCGCCACUAAAAGUGGAUCGGCUGGCGAGUUAUAUUAGCUUUGGAGUGGUAGGUCAUCAGCUCGUGAUUUUUGAGCAGCAACCACGCUAACUAUGCACUUGAUCACCCCAGCUGAUCCAUGAGCUGUCAGAGAAGCUGCCGACUGGCACCGCGCUGGAACAGGUACGGUAUCGCAGGAAGAGCUUUCUAUGAUAGCGGAGGAGGAGCUUCGAAUUUGCGGCAGAGUGGAUCACUGGAUACGUAACUGCAAGAACUUUCGGUGGGUCUAGCUUGGAGAGUGGUGGGAAGGAAGCGUUGCGCAAGUGCUAAGCUAAGCUUCCGUUGCAACGUCGAAAGUUGAAGGAAAGCAACAACUCGUUGCUCCUUUUCGUCGGACCAAGCACAGGGUUGAGCUGCAACGUUCACACCACGCAGUCAAAGCCAUUCAUGAUUUUCCGAAUUAUGCCCAUCAAUUUGCACUGCAACAAGUAUUCGGUGAACACUAUCGCAUUUCUGGAUGAAAGAUCGUCGUAUACGCUGGCCGAAAGAGCUCUACCCGGGUAGAGGUAAAAUACUGACGAUCAAAACAUGAUAUUGGUUUGAUUGAUAUAAGAGAUAAAAGAUAUGAAAAUAAUAUUUGAAAAAUGUUCCUGGAACAUCUGAACAAUAUCAAAAUUUGAUAUUUCAAGAUCAUACGAAUAGCUCGCUGCUAUUGGUUAGAUCUUACAAAAUCUAAAUAUGAUUUGAUGAUGCUGUUCCAGGAGUAAAUUUUUGAUUUUAUUUUUAGAUCUUUUAUCUCUUAUGUCAAUCAAACCCAUAUCACUUUUUUAUCUUCAUAUCAAUAUAUGCUAUUAUUGAGCUCUUUUCCUCUACUCGGGUAGUGAAUCGGCUAGGGGUUGGAGGCGUGGACUGUCGGAGGUACCCGGAUCGAGACAGAUUCACAGCGUGCAAGUCUUUUCAUUUCAGCAACAGGCUCCACUCAAAGUUUCCAAAAAAAAGUUCGCAAAAUGUAAAAGGCUUGAAGCUUUCGCAGUUCACAGUAGCUAUUGCGAACGUGGUGAGGAAAUACGCGCAUCUACAAGCAGUGUUGGUAAAAACUCAAAUUCUCAAAUCUCAUGGUUGAGUUGAUUCACCCGCGAUUCUUGACCCGCCAAACUCACCGCCGAAAAAAUCAUGCAUGAGUUGACUCGUGAUUUUACUCAUUCCUUAAUUUCUUGGUAGUCUUAUUAUUUAUAACGAAGUUUUUAGGAUUGUAUGACAGAACAAGAUCAAACCUUGCAUACAACAACAAAGAUUGUCGUUUAAAUUUGUAACGACCAAUAAUAAGCUCCAAAAUCUAUCACCGUUAAUUAAAAUUAACAGUGUAUAAAAAGCUGGUACAUAAGACCCUUUCAGUGACCGACACGCCAUCUCGCAGAAUGAGUUGGGACAUCUGAUGCUUUUUCGAUAAAGUUUAAUUUCAAAUGUCUCCGAAAAUACUCGUGAGCACCUCCACGGAUCUCAUUUAUUAGAUCGCAAUGCAGAUCAAGUGCCUUUUUAAAUGUAAUCCGCUGGUAGUAUUUUCAAUCCGCUUUGCUGCGAUCUUUCUCCAUCAUCAAAGAAUUGGCCAAAAUGAGAUCGCUUUAUCUGUUUAGCGGAAGGCAGAAUGAGAUGGGGUGGCCUUAAAUUGCGUUCGUAUCAAAAUAGAUACGAAAUUUUGUAGAGUUGAUAAAAGCGAUUUUCCUGUUAGGGGGCUAUUAUUCUCGUGCGAUUCGUCAACUUUUAUAGCUCGGUGUUUCAAAUUAGAACCAAAAAGUUAUAUUAAAAAAGUGACCUAUUAAGUUGAACAAACAAUUAUUCCAAGUAUAAUACCGUUUAAUUUGUUGCAAAUAGUGCAGUUUUUCCAGAAAUUAGACCCUAGAAGAAAAAUUUGGGUUUUAAGAAAAAAUCACCUUGACAGGUGAGAAUAGACAUCCCUGUGAUUAGAAGGUAAGAAGAUACUUUGUGCGAUAAUUUGUGACAAAUUUAGUAUUUCAUUGAAUCGCUUGACCAGGUGAAUCCCGCUGGUCAUCGCGGGUGUUUGUGUGGGGUGAAUUUUCAACUCGACGGAAUUCGAUCAGCACGUGUUGAAUUUCUCCCAUCUGGUCGACCCACCCUAGUGCCUCCUUGCACACCGUGCCAUAAAGCUUCCUUGCAUCGCCAAGCUACGCAACACGACCCGCAUCAUAGAAGCUCCUCCGUUUCGUCGCUCGGCGGUUGUCAAUUCAUCGCACGACGCAUAACGCACGAAUUCCUAAAGCUCCGUGCCCGCCAUCUGUCGACGAGUGGCUGAAUCCGCAAACAUCGCCGACGGAGUGGGCGAUUAUUUCCAGUAUCGCCGUUUGCGUGUGGUCGUCGGUAGCUCAACGUCAAUACGCCACCUGCAAGUGAAGCGUAUGUGCGGCUCGACAAUUCGCAUGCGCAUGAAGCCUAGACCACGCGAGUAGGAGUAAUCUGCGUGGGAGUUUUUCAAGGAUUCCGGAAUUCCGACGGAGCAGGACACGAUCACCGGUCAACGAGCAGGUUGGGAACCUGUACCAGGUCAGAUCUUUUUGUAUAUUUGUAUAUAGUUUUCUUUUUUUAUUAGCAAUUAAGAUACAAGAUUAGGAGUAAGAGUUGAAAAACCAAUUGGUGACGUCACCUUCAGAUAAAUAGGCCUCUGUAAUGAAUUUGAAUUUCAAUAAACAGGACUUGAAAACCAAUAGGCCGACACCACAGUGAAGGUUGACGGAUAUACGAUUUGAUUUACAGGAAAUACUUAAUGAAAAUGUCUCAUUGAGCCUUCUGUUGAUAAUUUUGAAUUGGCCUUUUGGCACUUAUAUAGAUUUUUUUUGAAUUGGAUUAGUUUAGAUUGGUAUUCUUUGAGUCUGCUUUGUGGUUUGCUAGGUGUAGUUGCGUGUUUGAGGGAUAAAUUCAACCUGCCCUAGAAAAGAGCCUCUGCCGGGCCAUUAACAGCCUCAGCAGUCUCACCUUCGGUGAGUGGCGCAUAAGCUGCUGUGGUCACGUACCUGGAGCAUUCGUUACAAAUUGAUUUGGAUUCGUUUUACAAGCAAAUGAGAUUUAGGCGCUUGACUCGUGAGAGCGAGAUUUUGCAUGAAAAUCUCGCGCGUGAGAAAAUGAUUCAGAAUCGCGCACGAGUUUGCUCACGCAGGAGCGGUUCAUGAGUGAGCUUUGAGUGUGAGUUUACCAACACUGUCUACAAGGCUAACCGUUCACCGACGUCCAGCAUUUACCUUUACGCGUCGUUCAAAUCACGAAUUGGUCGACUGAAGGGUAGCACACCAGUGAGGUCUAGUCUAGGUUGUCCCGUAUACAGACCAACUAGACCGGGAAACGUAAACAUUGAAAUGAUCGUGAGCUACCGGUUCAAAACAGUUCUAUAUUUUCCCGUCUCCUACGUUGAUUGGGGACAAACAUUACCUUCCCAGUAAAAAAAAACACUCCAAGCAAACCUACUAAGAAAAUCGAGCUGAUAAGUAGCUAUAAACGACAUAAACGUUCAAGACCCCAGGAUGAUUUCCUUCGCGGAGCGUGCUACCAACUGUUAGCCAAGUACUGCCAACAGGUGGAUCCAAGUUAAAACCAAACAUCGUACCUACUUUCACAAUGCUUAGUCCUUUCCUCUUUCUCUAUCUCUCGGGUGUAUCAGUAUCAAUUAGGAUGUUGGCUCAACUUUGCCACGUUAUACUUUUUCCUUACGACUUUCUCCUCUUUUAAUGCCAAGUGAAUACGCGGUGCGGUGGUACUCAGCGGAACUGGUAAUGGCACCUUACGAGAAAUUCUUUUGAAGUGCACUUGAAAGUUACUCUGUUGUUGCGUUACAAUGUAGCUCGUCUCGGCGUCUUUUCCUACUGCCUGUCUUACAACAUCAACAGGCAGACUUUAGCAAAAAAAAAAAGCUGUGGAUCCUUUCGAGCUGAUUAUGUUUAUUUGACGGAACGAGUGGUUGCAAUGCGUUGAAGCUGGAAUAAGUAUGAAGCAUGAGGGUACUAAUAUGAAGAGGCGUUGGUAGAAAAACUCAUGACUGCAAAUGGAAACACAAGUACAUAAGAAUAAUCUAUAAUGCUUGAAAUUUCAAAGUAUAGCUGAUUUAACGCAACAACGUAAUUUUACAGUACUUUACAGGGCUGUUUGCAUACAGUCAAGGGAUAUAAAUUGGAUCAGAAAUCGUAUAAUUUAAAAUAUACGGACACCGUCUUCAGCCAGAGGCUGUACAGACUGAACCUAAUACUAGAUAACGGACACGACACACAUUACGAGCUCCAGUAUACACGAGGAAGAAACAUUUCUUACGAAAAGUUUCCUCACUUAGAAUCGAGCCCUCACAAAUGGCAUGGUACCGUCAUACGCUUGGUGACGCUAAUUGCACGACCACGAGGCUCCAAUAACGAUCAGUUUUAAACAAUGUUUUUUUUUAGAAAUUUAUCUACGUUUCUCAAACUCCACAUUCUUUACUAACGAAGUGCAUUACUAUGCAGACUAAUUAAUAAUUUUAAAUUAAAUUGCAUUUCUUUUUUCCGAUUUUUUUUCAAAACUAUUGAAUUAUUACCAAAGCAAUUGAUUUAAACCAACAAAAGGUCUGAACAUUGAGUUCAUUAACUUCGAAAUACGAUUGAAUAUGUAAGACUUUGAAUACCUAGCCACAAAUUUAAUCCCAGCCGCUUGCAUGGCUGAAUCGUCAAGACAAGAAUAUUUCUCACUGUAGCUACCCGGGACAAAUCUUCAAGUCUCCUGGCAGGAUCCGUAGCAAUAAUUUUUCACGCUAAUCAGAUAACGUUAAUUAGAGUUCAACUGUGUAACCAAGUUCAGCGAAGCAUUAUUUGGCAGGUUGGCAAAUGAUUGCGGCAAGCUGUUGGCACGGGGAUUAGUGCAUAAUUAGGGUGGAGAGGCUUAAACGAUUACAGCCAAUCAAAUCAGCUCGAUAUAAUUGGCAAAGCAUAUGCCGGCAAGGCGAAUGAGCAUACCUCACUAUCUUAAGGAAGCAUGAAUUCAAAUAUAGUGCACUUUUGGUUAAAGAUGACGUACUCCGUUCACCUAACAGAAGAGAUUUCAAUUAAGCUCGUCUGCUCAACGAUGGAAUAAUUAUGGACAAAUAUAAUUCGCGUUAAUCCUCCACCUUGGAUGGCCUUUCAGUGCAUAAACUGGAUUUCUCACAAUUAGGUAGCUGUGGGAGCAUUUCUUUUAAUGACUCGUGUCGGAAUUAUCGUCUUACAUGAAUCAUUCAUGUUGUACGGAAACCCACCCACAUAACCGGCUGAAGCUCGUUUCGCGAGUACAAACCAUAUCGUUCCCCGUUGCUCAAUCAAGGUUUUAUAUCCGUGUAAAUUGUGUACUUAGAUACGGUCGGGAACAAGUCCCACCCGACAACUUCAUCCUUGUGCGAGCGUGUUGCAGCAAGGCACCUUACCACACGUACCUACCAACAAUACAACGCAGCAAGGCGGCCGCCCGGUGUUACCUACAACCUUCUCGAUUAAAGAAGUGGGGUCGGGAGGAGCUGCUUUCUACCGAUUGAGAUACAGGACGUGUACUGUUCAAGAAGAGCGCUCCGCAUCGGCUUCUGGUAUGAUGUUUCUUUUACUGCCGGCAGCACUUGUUACUUCUGCAGGGGUGCAAUCAGGAUUGCAGCGGAAAAGUGUGUUUUAAAGUACGAAAUACGACAAAACGCGAUUCAACCGAAUCGGAUUGAGUUAUUCUUCCAGGAGCCGUGAACAUUAUGUUUCUUAUGGAAGGAAUAAAGUGGAGAUGCAGACAGAUCACCACAAGUGGUUGUCUCCUACAGGAUCGUUAUGGCCAAGACGAGAGGUGUGAUGGCUCCUACAAAGCAAUCUCCAGAGAUGUUGGAGGGGAUCAUUGGAGGACUUUUUCCGCGUCAUGAUCCUAGUCCUUGGCCUCCUUUCGUAGGACAGCCGGGGACUGGGGCUGGCGAUGAGGAGCUUGCGGGGAUAGCUAAGUCCCUUAGCGUAUGUAAGGCCCCUGGUCCGGACGGAGUACCGGAGCUAUUGCAAAGGCUCCCGAGAUGUUCAGGUCUGCUAUGCAGAAAUGCCUGACCGAGGGAGUUUUCCCAGAAGCUUGGAAGAGGCAGAGCCUGGUACUAUUGCCAAAGGCGGGGAAACCACCCGGAGACCCGUCGGCAUAUAGACCAAUAUGCUUGAUUGACACGGCGAGGAAGGUGCUCGAAAAGAUCAUCCUCAAUAGAAUGUUGAGGUUCACCGAGGGCGAAAAUGGUCGUUCGAGCAACCAGUACGGCUUCCGGAAGGGGAGGUCCACCGUAGACGCUAUCUUGUCGCCCAGAAACCACUCGAGCCUAAGAGGAGGGGAAUUCGCUUUUGCGCGGUAGUGACUCUGGAUGUAAGGAAUGCGUUUAAUAGCGCCAGCUGGUCUGCUAUUGCCGAUGCGCUCUUGCGUCUGGGGAUACCGGAGUACCGGUACAAGAUUCUCGGAAGUUACUUUCAGAAUCGUGUACUAGUUUACGACACGGAGGUGGGUCGGAAGUGCUUUCACAUAACCUCAGGAGUCCCGCAAGGUUCCAUCCUGGGUCCGGUGUUAAGGAAUGUCAUGUACGACGAGGUGUUGAGGUUAGAGUACCCAGUGGGAGUGGUGAUUGUCGGAUUUGCCGAAGACAUUACGCUUGAAGUCUACGGUGAAACGAUCGAGGAGGUAAAAUUGACUACCAACCACUCGAUCAAGGUUGUGGAGGCGUGGAUGCGGUCCAGGAAACUGGAGCUGGCUCACCACAAGACAGAGGUGACAGUUGUUUUUAUUCUUAAUCACUUAACCUAAUUUACAGCUCUUUUGUCCACUUGGGCACUACGUGAGCGAUUCUAAUUGGACGCUGCACUUACACUUUUUGUACAGCGCCUACAUGUAUUCUAUUCUAAUUCAACUAUGUCGAACUGGUGCCUUGUGCUGCUUCAACUUUUCUACCCUGUCCAAGGUAGAAUGAUGAGCACGACGAUGCUGGUGGUUGGCUGCUGUUCCUUUUCCAGUCUAAUUGGGGGUUGUCCAUUAUGAGUUGCGGUUCGCCGAUAUCCAAAUUCCGGGUCCGUUAGAGCUAUAUGCUCCGAAGAGGGUCAGGUGCCAGCUGCUCUCGGGGGGAAGAGCAACUGACGAAAAAUUGCAAGUGCCGGGGCUGGGUUCGAACCCAUGACAAUCCGCUUAUGAAGCGAACGUGUAGACCACUGCGCCACGGGCCCCGACAUGUGACAGUUGUUAACAACCUGAAGUCGGAGCAGCAGACAGAGGUCAGUGUAGGAGAGUGCACUAUCCUGUCAAAGCGUUCCGUCAAACACUUGGGCGUGAUGAUCGACGAUAAGCUUACCUUCGGUAGCCACGUCGAUUAUGCCCGGAUGAUGUCCAAUAGCUCUGCGGUGUACGCCAGCAAGCGCAAGCUUCUGGCUAGUGUUGCUACGUCCAUACUUAGGUAUGGCGGCCCGGCAUGGGGCACCGCGCUAAGUACUGAAUGCUACCGACGGAAGCUGGAAAGUACUUACAGGCUUAUGUGCCUGAGGGUUGCGAGCGCGUAACGUACCGUGUCACACGACGCUCUCUGCGGCAUUACUGGUAUGGUGCCUAUCAGCAUUCUUAUCAGUGAGAACAUGAAGUGCUUCGAAAUGCGCGGCACAAGAGGCAUACGCAGGACUGCCAGGAUGGCCUCUAUGGUCAAAUGACACCACGCGUGGGAGAGUUCCACCAUAGGAAGGUGGACCCAUAGGUUGAUACUGAGGGUAGAUAGUUGGAUUAAUAGGCGCCAUGGGGAGGUUACUUUCCACCUGAUACAGGUCCUUACAGGUCAUGGUUGCUUCUGACAGUAUCUACACCGUUUCGGGCAUGCGGAUUCUCCCGAAUGCCCAGUGUGCAAUGGUUAAGAGGAAACGGCGGAACACGUUUUGUUCGUGUGCCCGCGUUUUCGCACAAUGCGUCAUAACAUGGUUCACCAACCCUCCAACGUGAGAGGGAAAAAUAGGAGAACGAGUGAGCAGAAGUACAAAUCGAAGCGUAUUCGACGUUCGAAACCUACAGCGUCUGGAACUGUUAGCGUCCAGACCGGAACUUCUGGACUUUAGAACUUCCGGCAUUAGUGAAACGAACAAUUCGACUCUCAUACUAUCUUCCAAAGGUUCAGAAGACAUGUUCAGAAAGCUUCGGCAGUUGUUUGUUGUAUAGUUGCCAACUCAAACCCAAAUCAAGAUACCAUGCGACCCAUGCCGAGAGAUAAAUGGUCUAGGGUGUUUAAAAGACGCUCGAUCGUCAAUUAAGCGUGUAAAUCUACGGUGAAUCGAUCGAAUAAAUGUAGUUGAUUAUUUAUUAGCCGCUCGAUCAAGGUUGUGAAGGCGUGGAAAAACCGAAAGUAGGAGCAGCAAGCGGUGAUCAGUGUAGGCGAUUCCAUUCACUACGAAGGGCUCCGUCAAACACUUGCGUGUGAUCCCGGAUGAUGUCAAAUAGCUCUGCGAUGUAUGAAAGUAAGCGAAAGCUUCUGGCUGGGUCGCUACGUCCAUACAAAGGUAUAGCGGCCCGGCGUGGGGCAUGGCGCUAAGUACCGAAAAUUACCAUGGUAUGCUAGAAAGUACUUAUAGGCUGAUGUGCCCGAGGGUUGCGAGCGCGUACUGUACCGUAUCACACAAUGCAUUCUGCGUCAUCACUGGUAUAGGCCUUCUUAUCAGGGAGGACAUAGAGUUCUACGAAUUGUGAGACACAAAAGGCAUACGCAGGACUGCCAGGAUGGCCUCCAUGGUCAAAUAGCCGCCCGCGUGGGACCGUUCCACCAAAGGAAGGUGGACCCAUAGGUUGAUCCCGAGGGUAGAUAGUUGGAUUAACAGGCGCCAUUGGGAUGUAACAUUCCACCUGACUCAGUUCCUUUCAGAUCAUGGCUGCUUCCGACAGUAACAACAUCGUUCCGGACAUGCGGGUUCUCCAGAAUGUCCGAUUUGUGCAGGUUUAGAGGAAACGACGGAACAAGUUUUGUUCGUGUGCCCACGUUUGCGCACAAUGCGUGAUCGCAUGCUUGCCACAUGCGGGGAGCACAAAACUUCGGAUAAUCUUGUCCAGAGGAUGUGUAGGUCAUACCGGUGCCCUGCGAUCGAAAUCGACCCUUACAGCGAUUACGUGGCCGCAGAGAGAACAUCCUGGUAGCAUAGCUGUCGUGGCAUCGGUCUACUGCAGGGGUUCCCAACAUGUUUGAAGUGGCGACCCCCUUUAAGAACAGUCAAAACAUCUGGGGCCCAAUGAAAUUUUUAAGGUAAAAAUAUGAAUCAGAUGAACGAAUCCGAAUUUUUUGGGUACAGUGACGUAGCCAGAAAUUUACUGUGGGAGGGAUUUUCAAUACGUUUCAGGAUCAAUGAUACGUUUUUUUUAUUUGACACUAACACGGGUUGGGAACCCGUGAUCUACUGGGUUGGAUCCGAGCUCGCGAUAGGAAAGAGGUCUCCGGAAAGGGUCGAAGCAGGAGGAUGCCCUAUUGUGAGCAACUUUAUGGUGCAGCUGAUAGGGCCUGAAGGGUAGUGAUGCCCUUGUCUUCAGCAGGUCAGAUCGUGUUGCGCGUAGGCAUCAAUUUUUGAUGCUUGCAAAACAGUUGGGCGCGGACGUAGUGGCUGACCGGUGCUUUUCAACCCAAAGCGGUAGCAAUAUGCCUUCAUUAGCUAAAAUACUUCUGAAGCAAGUGGGAGCGGGAGCAAUAAAAAAUAUAAGUGAGAGUGAAGAACGACGAUUCAGCGCCGUGCGGCUCUCUGAAUCUCUCUCUUCGCCGGUGUAUACGGCAAUGAAUAUACUUGAUUUUUAUCUCGUUAUUACAGUGCCUCAGCCUCACCGUAGCAAGCGAGAAAUAAUCGUUGCCAGUCAGUAUACUUCACCAGGCAACCGACCGAUGAGGAAUAGUGAUCGCGGUUGGUUCGGUUUCUCUUUGCUCGCUGUGCGUGUUCGUUCGUAGUGAUGGUUGGCGCUGAUGACUGAUCGUAUCAUUCAUAUUCACUCAAAUUCAAGCACUGCCACUCGGGAAACUGACAAAGCGCCAGCAUGCUAUCUUGGUGGACUCUCCAAAGCGAGUCAUCGUUGUUCGUUGGUAGAAGCUGUCACAAAAGCAUGAAAAUCAACCAUCGGGAGAGAAAACUUUGACACUCGCAAUGCAAGGAGAUACGAUGCAAAGUUGGAGUCGACAUACGCAGUAUCAUACGUGCUCGCACUCGAGGUGAGCUGAACGGUGUGCUCGUUGAGCAUUCCGUAGUCGCCGGAGUCUUGUUUCAGGUGUACAGGUAUAUUUCUGUAGCUGUUAGGGAACGUCCAUGAAGCAUUUAAGGGGGAUGGGGGAGUCUUGGAUCGUAUGACGAACAAGGGAUACAGUAUGAGCAGGGGGUAGGAGGAAUAAAGAAUCGGCCGAAAUCGGAUUGAAAGAGUAGUUUCAGCAGAUGCUGAACUGUAUGAUGGCAAAGCUGACAGGGCGAUGGCCGGUGGUAAAGGUGGUUGACUUCAAUGCAUUGACCAAUGAAUGGGGAAGCCGUUUCAUGGACCGCCAGAAGCACUGACCAUGCUCUAUGUCGAUUCGACUAUAACGUCGAUACAAAAAGGUACCUUUAACUGGAACGGACCGGAGUCGGUCAUCGACGUUACAUUCUGUAGUCUUGGCCUAACAAGUAGUUCGAUCUGGAGGGCAAACGGUCACAGCGAUCACCUGGCGGUUCGCUGCUGUAUCGAUUACAGCAACAGUAGGCAGCAGGCGGAAAAAGGUGACACGGAAGCUAUCGGGGUUGUGACAGUCGAUUAUUAACUGAUCUGGCCAAUAUGUUUCUUUCGUGCAGAGCGUCGGCAGAACAUUUGGAACGGUGACAGAUCUGUGUACACUUCAAAAACGCAAAGCUAUAUAUGUCUGACUGGAAUGCAUACAGAAAAUACAAUGUAGGCUGGUAGGCGGAACUGAACGAAGCUAGAUAAGACUUCGCACCCUCAAUUCCACCCUGUCCCAUUAACACCUAAGGAAAAUGCGGGAAUCUUCGUUUGUUUUAUUUUCCUCCAUCCCAGUGCUCCCCGUCAGCUCUCGUCCUCUACAUGCGGUUGAUCCGUCGUCGUCGUCGCAGUACACGGGGGGUGACGCACGCUUGGGGAUGGGGGAGAUAAAUCCCGAUCCGAAUCGGUAGCUUCUCCGGAGGGAGCUACCGGCGAGACACUGAGAGCGUAUACGUGGAAGGAGAUGCAACGGUCGACAAUGUGCCGAUGGCAAAAGGUAAAGGUUGCAAGAUGGCAUUGAAUUGGAACGUUGAAUGAUUGGUAAUCUAACGACGCUAUAAUGGGCUAAUUAAA